This 75-nucleotide transfer RNA is filed under the name Candidatus Saccharimonadota bacterium. RNAcentral describes it as "tRNA-Gly". It matches the Rfam family "tRNA". From Rfam's summary of the family: Transfer RNA (tRNA) molecules are approximately 80 nucleotides in length. Their secondary structure includes four short double-helical elements and three loops (D, anti-codon, and T loops). The record is from RNAcentral. Lineage: Bacteria; Candidatus Saccharimonadota.
GCGGGUAUCGUAUAGUGGUUAUUAUGUAGCCUUCCCAAGGCUGAGAGGUGAGUUCGAUUCUCCCUACCCGCACCA